UACGUAGGGUGCAAGCGUUAAUCGGAAUUACUGGGCGUAAAGCGUGCGCAGGCGGUUUUGUAAGUUUGUCGUGAAAUCCCCGGGCUCAACCUGGGAAUGGCGAUGAAGACUGCAAGGCUAGAAUCUGGCAGAGGGGGGUAGAAUUCCACGUGUAGCAGUGAAAUGCGUAGAGAUGUGGAGGAACACCGAUGGCGAAGGCAGCCCCCUGGGUCAAGAUUGACGCUCAUGCACCGAAAGGCGUGGGGAGCAAACAG
RNAcentral lists this ribosomal RNA (254 nucleotides) under uncultured bacterium. RNAcentral's name for it is "partial 16S ribosomal RNA". It matches the Rfam family "Bacterial small subunit ribosomal RNA", at positions 524 to 775 of the family's 1533-position model. The record is from RNAcentral.